This 492-nucleotide ribosomal RNA is filed under the name uncultured bacterium. RNAcentral's name for it is "partial 16S ribosomal RNA". It matches the Rfam family "Bacterial small subunit ribosomal RNA", at positions 29 to 507 of the family's 1533-position model. The record is from RNAcentral.
AGUGAACGCUGGCGGUAGGCCUAGCACAUGCAAGUCGAACGGCAGCACAGUAAGAGCUUGCUCUUACGGGUGGCGAGUGGCGGACGGGUGAGGAAUACAUCGGGAUCUACUUUUUCGUGGGGGAUAACGUAGGGAAACUUACGCUAAUACCGCAUACGACCUACGGGUGAAAGCAGGGGAUCUUCGGACCUUGCGCGAUUGAAUGAGCCGAUGUCGGAUUAGCUAGUUGGCGGGGUAAAGGCCCACCAAGGCGACGAUCCGUAGCUGGUCUGAGAGGAUGAUCAGCCACACUGGAACUGAGACACGGUCCAGACUCCUACGGGAGGCAGCAGUGGGGAAUAUUGGACAAUGGGCGCAAGCCUGAUCCAGCCAUACCGCGUGGGUGAAGAAGGCCUUCGGGUUGUAAAGCCCUUUUGUUGGGAAAGAAAAGCAGCAGGUUAAUACCCCGCUGUUCUGACGGUACCCAAAGAAUAAGCACCGGCUAACUUCGUG